Molecule: ribosomal RNA, 497 nt
Filed under: uncultured bacterium
Lineage: Bacteria
Description: partial 16S ribosomal RNA
Rfam family: Bacterial small subunit ribosomal RNA
Source: RNAcentral
GAUGGACGCUGGCGGCGUGCCUAAUACAUGCAAGUCGAGCGAACAGACGAGGAGCUUGCUCCUCUGACGUUAGCGGCGGACGGGUGAGUAACACGUGGAUAACCUACCUAUAAGACUGGGAUAACUUCGGGAAACCGGAGCUAAUACCGGAUAAUAUAUUGAACCGCAUGGUUCAAUAGUGAAAGACGGUUUUGCUGUCACUUAUAGAUGGAUCCGCGCCGCAUUAGCUAGUUGGUAAGGUAACGGCUUACCAAGGCAACGAUGCGUAGCCGACCUGAGAGGGUGAUCGUCCACACUGGAACUGAGACACGGUCCAGACUCCUACGGGAGGCAGCAGUAGGGAAUCUUCCGCAAUGGGCGAAAGCCUGACGGAGCAACGCCGCGUGAGUGAUGAAGGUCUUCGGAUCGUAAAACUCUGUUAUUAGGGAAGAACAAAUGUGUAAGUAACUAUGCACGUCUUGACGGUACCUAAUCAGAAAGCCACGGCUAACUACGUG